This 468-nucleotide ribosomal RNA is filed under the name uncultured bacterium. Its description in RNAcentral is "partial 16S ribosomal RNA". It matches the Rfam family "Bacterial small subunit ribosomal RNA", at positions 28 to 507 of the family's 1533-position model. The record is from RNAcentral.
GACGAACGCUGGCGGCGUGCUUAACACAUGCAAGUCGAACGGAAAGGCCCUGCUUUUGUGGGGUGCUCGAGUGGCGAACGGGUGAGUAACACGUGAGUAACCUGCCCUUGACUUUGGGAUAACUUCAGGAAACUGGGGCUAAUACCGGAUCGGAGCUCCUGCUGCAUGGUGGGGGUUGGAAAGUUUCGGCGGUUGGGGAUGGACUCGCGGCUUAUCAGCUUGUUGGUGGGGUAGUGGCUUACCAAGGCUUUGACGGGUAGCCGGCCUGAGAGGGUGACCGGCGACAUUGGGACUGAGAUAGGGCCCAGACUCCUACGGGAGGCAGCAGUGGCGAAUAUUGCACAAUGGGCGGAAGCCUGAUGCAGCAACGCCGCGUGCGGGAUGACGGCCUUCGGGUUGUAAACCGCUUUCGCCUGUGACGAAGCGUGAGUGACGGUAAUGGGUAAAGAAGCACCGGCUAACUACGUG